Molecule: ribosomal RNA, 502 nt
Filed under: uncultured bacterium
Lineage: Bacteria
Description: bacterial SSU rRNA
Rfam family: Bacterial small subunit ribosomal RNA
Source: RNAcentral
GACGAACGCUGGCGGCGUGCUUAACACAUGCAAGUCGAACGGGAGGAAAAGAGAAGCUUGCUUCUUUUUGAAUCUAGUGGCAAACGGGUGAGUAACACGUAAACAACCUGCCUUCAGGAUGGGGACAACAGACGGAAACGACUGCUAAUACCGAAUGUGUUCCGGAGACCGCAUGAUUUCCGGAAGAAAGGAUGGCCUCUAUUUAUAAGCUAUCGCCUGAAGAGGGGUUUGCGUCUGAUUAGGCAGUUGGUGAGGUAACGGCCCACCAAACCUACGAUCAGUAGCCGGUCUGAGAGGAUGAACGGCCACACUGGAACUGAGACACGGUCCAGACUCCUACGGGAGGCAGCAGUGGGGAAUCUUCCGCAAUAGACGAAAGUCUGACGGAGCAACGCCGCGUGAGUGAUGACGGCCUCGGGUUGUAAAGCUCUGUGAUCGGGGACGAAUAGGCUGGUAUGCUAAUACCAUAUCAGAGUGACGGUACCCGAAUAGCAAGCCACGG